CCCUGUCUACUAUCCAGCGA
RNAcentral lists this small nuclear RNA (20 nucleotides) under Arabidopsis thaliana (thale cress). Its description in RNAcentral is "snRNA_06582". The record is from RNAcentral. Lineage: Eukaryota; Viridiplantae; Streptophyta; Magnoliopsida; Brassicales; Brassicaceae.